RNAcentral lists this microRNA precursor (84 nucleotides) under Chinchilla lanigera (long-tailed chinchilla). Its description in RNAcentral is "miRNA (ENSCLAG00000021087.1)". Lineage: Eukaryota; Metazoa; Chordata; Mammalia; Rodentia; Chinchillidae. The record is from RNAcentral.
CAUCUGGGGAUCUUGUUAAAAUGCAGAUUCUGAUUCUGCAGUGCAGGUGGGAGUUGCUGCAUUUCUAACAGCUCUCAGAUGAGG